CCUCCUCCUCAACCCUACGUCGAGGCCUGCCUCGACGCCUCCCUCGACCACUCCCUGAACGUGACCCUGACCCUGAACCAGUCCCUGCCGCGGCCAGUCUCUCGCAAAUCGACGUGAGCUUCCUGAUACCGCCCACCAUUGCUUAAUGACCUGCAAUUAAAAAGAGUACACGAGUCAGCAUAGGCAAACAAAACAUAAUUAGAAAUAUAUGCAAAUUACAAGUAAUUAUAGCUAAAUUAUUACGAAUCAUACAUGUAUUAGAAAUAAUCAUCAUGAUCGGGAUUAGCUGGAUCAUAAGUCUCAUCAUCACUAUCAUGCGUGUCGAUAUAGUCAAGCUCGUGCUCCGAAGAAGAAAUGUCGUCAUCACUGUCAUUAUCUAACUGUAAUCGUUGAAGUAAUUCUAAGUCCUUCACAUUUUGAACCUCGUCUCCACCGUCUUCUGCAGCAACCCUCUCAUUGUCUACUUCCAUUCCGAUCGCUUCGGUUAAAUCUAUCACAAAACUCCCUUCGAGCCCAUCUUCUUGGAAUAACUCUCCUUCGUACGUGUCGGGGUCUAUAUUGUAAUCUUCAUUGUUUGGUACAGGUAGUUUACCGUGUGGUGAUACCUUGUACACAACAUCCCAACCCUUAAGACGGCUGUCGGUUUGGCACGGGUAUGACAAAUAAUAAACUUGCGUGGCCUGUUGAGCCACAAUAUAGACAUCGUCUCCUGGUAACCUGGAUGACUGUCGAAUUUCGACUAGCCCAAGGUUAGGGGCCCGUCUCACGACAGAUGGAUCAAACCAAUGGCAUUUGAAUAUAACUGGAUUAAGAGGUUUACACCCAUGAAAAGUGAGUUCGUAUAUUUCUUCAAUUCUUCCGUAGUACUCGACUCCAUUGGAGCCUGGCGUGAAAACUCCAGUAUUUGUGGUUCUUCGAUUGGGCCGACUCUGCUCGUGCCUUGUUGUGUGAAACCUAUAUCCGUUGACGUCAUAAUCGGCAAACGACCUGACCCUAUAGUCACAGCCAUCGGCAACCUGUCUCAACUCGACAUUCAUAGACGCAUCGGUUCGGCCCUGCAAGUACGAACAGGGCGGUUCGUUAUAUUAAUCGUAUGCACGAGUAUCUAGAAUGUUCGCGGAAAUGAAGGGGUUACCUUCUGUUUGAACCAAGAAAUGAAAUCGGGCAUUCCAUUUCCCGCACCCUCUUUAAGAAGAGUCUCAGCUUCGUGCGGGGUCGGUUGCCUUGAUUUACGCCAGAAUUGACGAUGAAAUUGCCUAUGCCAACGAGAAAGAUACGUUUAGGCAAGAGAUACCAUUAAUACGUCGAAAUAAGUUUGUCGAUGACUUACAUCAUGUACGGCUCCACUUCAGAUAGGUUGGUCAACACAUAUAGCAUGAUAGAGCGCCACUCUUCAUGAUUAAGGGUCUUGCGGGUCGCACCACUUGCACUUCUGAGUUGCCCUCGGAAAAUGCUAAGGCUUAAUUCAUCUUCGCUAGCAUUGUAACGAGGAGGUGGAUUAUGCACACUAGGAAGGUUCUCAGCGUAGUAUUUCGAUGUGAAGUUUGACACCUCCUCCAGAAUGUAUGCCUCUGCAAUGGAUGCUUCAAUUUUGCACUUAUUCUUACAUUUAGUUCGAAGAACCUUUUGACAUCUCUCAAUUGAGUAGCACCAACGACCCUGCACAGGCCCCCCCAUUCGUGCUUCAUACGGGAGGUGUAGAAUCAUAUGCUGCAUUGGAUUGAAGAAGCCUGGAGGAAAGAUCUUCUCCAACUUACAAAGCAACACAGGCGCCAUUGUUUCCAUUUCUGCAACCACGGUACGAGAUAACUCCUUCGCACAAAGCCGGCGGAAGAAAUUGCUCAACUCCGCUAGCACCUGCCACACAUGCUCAGGGACAUAGCCUCGAACCAUCACCGGAAGGAGGCGCUCAAGCCAUAUAUGGUAAUCAUGACUCUUGAGCCCGUUGAUUCGCAUAGUUGCUAAAUUCACUCCCCUCUUCAAGUUCGCUGCAUAGCCAUCAGGGAACAUUAAUGUUUGGAACCAUUCUAGAACCUCCCUCCUUUGAGCCCUCGUCAGAACAAAAUCGGCCUUAGGCUUCCUCCAUGACUUGCCAGCUCUUGGAGGCGCCAUGUUUAGCUGUGGUCUGUUGCACAAUGUCGCUUGAUCCACUCUAGCCUUAACGUUAUCCUUUGUCUUGUCAGGAAUGUCCAUUAUGGUACCAAAAAUUGCCUCGGCGAUAUUUUUUUCCGUGUGCAUUACAUCAAUGUUAUGUGGAACAAGGAGAUCAUCAAAAUAUGGAAGCUUCCACAAGCACGACUUCUGCGUCCAAGCAUGUUGCUCGCCAUAUCCCAAAAAACCACCUUCUUCAUUAUUGAACUCAAGAGCGUCUAACUGAGCACGAACUGCGGCCCCUGUCAUCAUCGGCGGUGCGGGGGCUGUAACUACAACAUCUUUGGUAAAGUUCUUCAUGUCUCGUCUAAAUGGAUGGUCAGGAGGGAGAAAUUGUCGAUGUUUGUCGAACGAUGAAUAUUUACCCCCUUUCGACAACCAAAUGAACUUCAAAGAUGCUUUACAUACUGGGCAAGGGAACUUCCCGUGAACACACCAUCCGGAGAAAAUCCCAUAUGCCGGCAAGUCAUGCAGUGAGUACUGGUACCAAACAUGCAUCUUGAAGUUUGUCUUUGUGGAUCGGUCAUAGGUCCAUACCCCUUCCUCCCAAGCACGGAGCAAAUCAUCAAUCAGAGGCUCCAUAUACACACUCAUAUUAUUUCCCGGAUGCUCUGGAAUUAUCAACGACAAGAAUAUAUUAUGUCGUUGAAAUAGGACGCCGGGUGAGAGAUUCAGUGGGAUAACGAAAAUGGGCCAACAGGUGUACGGGGCGGCCGCCAUUCCAUAGGGAUUGAACCCAUCAGUUGCCAACGCAACGCGUACGUUACGGGCCUCUAGAGCUUUUGCAGGAUAAAUCGCAUCAAAGCUUCUCCAGGCUUCAGCAUCGGAUGGGUGUACCAGCUUCUCUGGAUUAUAGCGACGGCCAUUUUUGUGCCAUGUCAUCUGUUUCGCGGAUUCUUCAGUCAUGAAAAGCCGUUGGAUCCUCGGUAUGAAAGGAAGAUACCGUAGAACCUUCACAGGAAUUGCGAGCUGCUUUUUCUGACCGUCACCAGAAUCAACCUCCAGAAAUCUAGACGAUUCACACUUCACACAGUAUUUUGCUUCCGCAUACUCUUUCCUAAAUAAGAUGCAUCCCUUCGGGCAUGCAUGUAUGUGCUCGUAUGGCAUCUUAAGUGCACGAAGGAGUUUCUGUGCCUCAUACAUGCUCUUUGGCAAGAUGUGACCAACCGGGAGCAGGCUUCCAAAAACUGUCAACAUAAUAUCAAACGCGUCUCGACUCAAACUAAACUGAGACUUCACAGCCAUUAGACGUGCAAUGGCAUCUAGCUGAGAAACCUUGGUAUGGCCGUGAAGGGGUUGCUGUGCCGCAGACAACAUUUCGUAAUAAGCCUUAGCGGUAGCCUCUGGCUCCUCCUCCCUACGUGCCUCUUCGAAGUGUGCUUCAUGAAAGUCAUUCAACAUAUCUCCCACCCCGGCAUCAUCAUCAAAUUCCUCGAUUCGUUGUCUCAAGACCUCCUCUCUCCCUCAGUCAGAUUCACCAUGGUAGAUCCACCUGGUGUAGUCUGACGUAAAUCCGUUCUUCACCAGAUGUUUGCCCAUCUCCAGCUUGGUUUGCCGACGCAUGUUUCCACAUUUGCUGCACGGACACCAAGUCGAUCGAGCUCCAUUGACACUUGCAAACGCUCGUUCCAAGAAAGCAUCCGUCUUGUCAAGCCAUUCAUUGGUCAACGUAUUCUGACUAGUGCGACCCGUGUACAUCCACUGACGAUCCUCCAUCCUCUACCAUUUAAAUAAGUAAUACAAAAUUCACAUGGCAUAUACACGUUCCUAUAUUGUCUACUAGGUAAAGAUAGGUCCUAAUCCCACCCCAGGAUGUGUAGGUGGGUUUAGUAUCCAUUGAAACUAACCAAUGUCUAGAUAAUAUUUCGGCNNNNNNNNNNNNNNNNNNNNNNNNNNNNNNNNNNNNNNNNNNNNNNNNNNNNNNNNNNNNNNNNNNNNNNNNNNNNNNNNNNNNNNNNNNNNNNNNNNNNGCUGGGAACUUAAAUUUUAUCUCGGGCCGGAGUAGACCAUGGAUACUAAACCCACCUACACAUCCUCGGGCUGUCCAAAAAACGUGGACAAUUCGAAACAGAUACAAUUAUAGAUAUGCAAAGAUCUGCAUAUUUCCAACCGUAUCUCUUUCGAACGGGAGACGCCUAACUAGGUUACGUGAUAUACGAACAUUAUACGGAAAUAGAGGUGUAGCAUGCCUCACCUUGCUAUCCUGCAAAGUGACGAGUCGAGGACGGUCCUUGUAAGCCUCUCC
Molecule: long non-coding RNA, 4396 nt
Filed under: Setaria italica (foxtail millet)
Lineage: Eukaryota; Viridiplantae; Streptophyta; Magnoliopsida; Poales; Poaceae
Description: long non-coding RNA (SITA_LNC003639)
Source: RNAcentral